UUAAAAUAUAGCAUCAGUUAUUGAUCCAAGAAAUUUGACCAACAGAACAAGUUACCAUAUGGUAACAGCACAAUCCUAUUUGAGAGUCCAUAUCAACAAUAGGGCUUAUGACCUCGAUGUUGGUUCAGGACAUCCCCAUGGUGCAGCAGCUAUUAAAGAUUUGUUCGUUCAACAAUUAAAGUCCUACAUGAUCUGAGUCCCAGCAGGAGCAAUCCAGGUCAGUUUCUAUCUAUUACAACGACGUCUCCCAGUACUAAAGGACAAGAGGAGUAAGGCCUAUUCUAUUGGAAUGCCUUAGAACUAAUAGAGGAUAUAAUCUUAAUAUAACCAGGCCACCCC
This is a long non-coding RNA of Mustela erminea (ermine), 339 nucleotides long. RefSeq lists it as uncharacterized. The record is from RefSeq and is a predicted model, not a curated record. The transcript has 3 exons. Lineage: Eukaryota; Metazoa; Chordata; Mammalia; Carnivora; Mustelidae.